Non-coding RNA from Arachis ipaensis, 100 nucleotides. Lineage: Eukaryota; Viridiplantae; Streptophyta; Magnoliopsida; Fabales; Fabaceae. The record is from RefSeq and is a predicted model, not a curated record.
AGAUAAUACAAAAUAAUGACGAAUAAACAGAAAAUGAAUAUAACUCUUCUAAAGCUCCGUCGCCCAUAUCCUGAAAAGGGAAAAACCUCGACAAGAGAAA